UAAUAUCUCAACACAGUCAAGUUGUUUGACUUGCACUGAUGCUUGGGUGCUGAAGGUUGCUGGCAAUAUUUGUCAGCUCCUUUUAAAUGUAUUAGCAGAAACUAUGCGAAAAGCUGGCUUCAGUUUGAUAAGCACUUAUCUGUAUUGCUGUUGCUAGUGAAAUGCUCUUGUUUCAGCUUCCAAUUGUCCAAUCAUUUGGACUGCCUCUCGAGGUAAUUUAAUCUUGAC
RNAcentral lists this unclassified non-coding RNA (228 nucleotides) under uncultured Clavaria. RNAcentral describes it as "sequence contains ITS2". The record is from RNAcentral. Lineage: Eukaryota; Fungi; Basidiomycota; Agaricomycetes; Agaricales; Clavariaceae.